AGGUAGGUGAUCCCAGGCGAUGGUUGUCCUGGGGUAAGCGUGUAGGGAGAAGGUUAGGCAAAUCCGACCUUCAUAUAUCCUGAGACGCGAUACCGAAGCCGUAUGGCCUAAGUCACUGAUCCUAUGCUGCCAAGAAAAGCCUAGCAGCGAGUUGGCACGGUGCCCGUACCCCAAACCAACACAGGUGGAUAGGUAGAGAAUACCAAGGCGAUUGGGAGAACUGUGGUUAAGGAACUCGGCAAAAUGCAUGCGUAACCUCGGGAUAAGCAUGACCUCGUUAGGGUGAAGGGACUUGCUCCCGGAGCUCGAAGAGGUGGCACAGAAUUGGGGGAAGCGACUGUUUACUAAAAACACAGCAGCGUGCGAAGCCGAAAGGCGCUGUAUACGCUGUGACGCCUGCCCAAUGCUGGAAGGUCACGGGGAAGGGUUAGCCCUAGGGCGAAGCUCUGAACCUAAGCCCCAGUGAAUGGCGGCCGUAACUAUAACGGUCCUAAGGUAGCGAAAUUCCUUGUCGGGUAAGUUCCGACCUGCACGAAUGGCGUAACGACUUCCCUACUGUCUCAACCACAGACCCAGCGAAAUUGAAGUACGAGUAAAGAUGCUCGUUAGCUGUAGAAGGACGGAAAGACCCCGUGGACCUUUACUAUAGCUUGAUAUUGAGUCUCGUCAUGCGUUGUGUAGGAUAGGUGGGAGGCUAGGAAGCAUGCACGCCAGUGUGUGUGGAGCCACCCUUGAAAUACCACCCUGCGUAUGGCGGGACUCUCACCCUGACCCGUUAUCCGGGCCGGGGACAGUGUCAGGUGGGUAGUUUGACUGGGGCGGUCGCCUCCUAAAGAGUAACGGAGGCGCCCAAAGGUUCCCUCAGACUGGUUGGCAAUCAGUCGUCGAGCGCAAUGGCAUAAGGGAGCUUGACUGCGAGACGUACAGGUCGAGCAGGUGCGAAAGCAGGGCAUAGUGAUCCGGCGGUUGCGUGUGGAAGCGCCGUCGCUCAACGGAUAAAAGGUACCCCGGGGAUAACAGGCUAAUCUUCCCCAAGAGUCCAUAUCGACGGGAAGGUUUGGCACCUCGAUGUCGGCUCAUCGCAUCCUGGGGCUGAAGCAGGUCCCAAGGGUUGGGCUGUUCGCCCAUUAAAGCGGUACGCGAGCUGGGUUUAGAACGUCGUGAGACAGUUCGGUCCCUAUCCUCUACAGCCGGAAGUGACUUGAGAAAAGCUGUCCCUAGUACGAGAGGACCGGGAUGGACGCAGCUCUCGUGUGCCAGUUGUCCUGCCAAGGGCAUGGCUGGUUAGCGACCUGCGGGCGAGAUAACCGCUGAAAGCAUCUAAGCGGGAAGCUCCUUUCAAGAUGAGGUCACUCACAGGGUCAACCUGGUAAGGCCCGUGGUAGACCACCACGUUGAUAGGCCGGAAGUGUAAGCGCGGUAACGCGUUCAGCUGACCGGUACUAAUCGGCCGAGGGCUUGGUC
Molecule: ribosomal RNA, 1464 nt
Filed under: metagenome
Description: bacterial LSU rRNA
Rfam family: Bacterial large subunit ribosomal RNA
Source: RNAcentral